AGAGUUUGAUCCUGGCUCAGGAUGAACGCUAGCGGCAGGCUUAAUACAUGCAAGUUGAGGGGCAGCAUGAUAUACGCGAGUAUAUUGAUGGCGACCGGCGGACGGGUGAGUAAUAGGUAGGAGACCUACCUCAUACAGGGGGAUAGCAUAGAGAAAUCUGUGGUAAUACCCCAUGAGGUUAUAUGAAUAGAGGCAUAUAAUCAAAGCAUAAGCGAUUAUGCGGUAUGAGAGGGGCCUACUGACCAUUAGCUAGUUGGUGAGGUAAGGGCUCACCAAGGCGAAGAUGGUUAGGGGUUUUGAGAGAGAGACCCCCCACAUUGGAACUGAGAGACGGUCCAGACUCCUACGGGAGGCAGCAGUAGGGAAUAUUGGGCAAUGGGCGAAAGCCUGACCCAGCCAUGCCGCGUGAAGGAAGACGGCCUUAUGGGUUGUAAACUUCUUUACUACGCGAAUAGAGGUUAGUACGAGAUACUAAUAGGAAGGUAGUGUAGUAAAAAGCACCGGCUAACUCCGUGCCAGCAGCCGCGGUAA
This 531-nucleotide ribosomal RNA is filed under the name uncultured bacterium. RNAcentral's name for it is "bacterial SSU rRNA". It matches the Rfam family "Bacterial small subunit ribosomal RNA", at positions 8 to 523 of the family's 1533-position model. The record is from RNAcentral.